RNAcentral lists this long non-coding RNA (244 nucleotides) under Capsicum annuum. Its description in RNAcentral is "long non-coding RNA (CANN_LNC006217)". Lineage: Eukaryota; Viridiplantae; Streptophyta; Magnoliopsida; Solanales; Solanaceae. The record is from RNAcentral.
AACAUCCCUCUUACCCGAAUACCCUCCCAAGAAAGAGUCAACUAGUCUAUCCAGAUAAAUGUGACAAGAAACAAGGAACAAGAGUUGCUCAUCAAGUGAAAAACAUAAACUCUUGUUGGAACAACAAAUAGGCUUGAAAGUCGAGAUAGGAAGGCUAUAAAUUCCAUGCACAUUCAAGUCAUUCCAAAAGACAUCCUUAUCACCAUACUUCAAAUGAUCACCGGGAUCAAAUGGAUGGAGUGUC